GAGACCCGCACGGACACAUUGCGACCAAGCGUCUUAAAAUACCUUAUCCCGCAAUGUAGCGGUUUAUGAGACUACAGCUUCUCUAACUAAUAUUCGCCCCAAAGUAUAAAGUGAAGUGAAACCUGCUUCAUGUGCAUUUCACGGUAACCAUCUCGCCUUCUGAGUUUUGUUGUCGUGGAAGUCCAAAAACUCCUACCCCUCAAUUAUUGUGGAUAUGGGGCUAAAUGCUUUUGAAGCAUCCAACAGAGUUCGCAUGCCCUGAUUCGGCGCAGAUCUAGAUUCUCGUUUUUGUCCGUGCAUUGUUCGGCGACCACAUCUUGCGCUGUGGAUCAACAGACUUGGAGCUAGGAUAGAUGGAGGUGCUUGGAUCAGUCAAAAUAGCAGCACAGAAAAGUUUACUCCCUUGGCAUCGCCUCUCUAACCACUUCGGAUGGUAUUAUCUUCUCGCUUAUCGAUCAGAUGAACGGAUAAAACAUAAAAUUUAGGCGAAGAGCGAGAGAAAGGUGCAGAACUAUUAGUUUUUUCGUUCAUAAUUGACUGCCCCACCUUUGCUCAGCAUUCUAUGCCUAUCAUCACCUCUUAUCGGCGACCUUAUCUCCCCACACUCCGCCCCGUCAAUCGCAUUAUAUCGGCUAUCUCAGCGAGUGGAUUAAGAAUUGUUUCUGACAAGUGCAAAUUUGCCCACUUCCCCUGCUCCAACCUAUAAAAUAUGAAUACAAAGUCUCCACACGCACACACACACUCUCUCUCUCUCUCAAGCCUCAGUCGCUCAAGGCCGCAACGCUACGGCGGGCGUAUGCGCGAAGGUUCCGCGAUCGAUUCUCAUACGCUACAAGUGGGCUAAGUUGAGUUCCGCCAUGCCGCGAUCGACCCUGAUCGGGUACCAAUGGAAAUAGUUCAAAAGCGAAUGUUUGAUUCUUUAUCCUCGCGAGGAGAGACAUAUGCAUACCACCUACUAGUGGUUAUUAAAAAAUCCGGUCCAAAUCCAAUAAUAGCAACGGCAAGAGUUUAAUGAGAACAGUUAGAGGGAGCACAGGAAAAAUAUUCCUUUUUG
RNAcentral lists this small RNA (1054 nucleotides) under Histoplasma capsulatum. RNAcentral's name for it is "hypothetical RNA". RNAcentral also lists the same sequence under 1 other name. The record is from RNAcentral. Lineage: Eukaryota; Fungi; Ascomycota; Eurotiomycetes; Onygenales; Ajellomycetaceae.